GCUCCUCUGCGGCUCCACGGCUCUGCCCUUGCCUCGCUGGCCCUGCCAGCCCAGCACAGACCCAUGUUUGCUUGCCUGUCAUUUGCCACAUGUACAGGAGGGUUUUUUAAGCUCCUACCGGCAGGGUGACCAGCCCUGAGACCCAGGGUAGCACAGUGAGGAGCUGACAAUAGUGUGAGAUGUUCAGUGAGAACCCUAACUGAUGCCCUGACUCCUCAGGGCUCCAGCCUGGAAUAGCACCAUUAAGGGGAUGUCAGUGGUUUACUGGAGCAUGGCACAGGGAGCUUUCCUCGCUCUCCAGGCUGGGCUGCAGACGGACACACUGCUCAGUGGGACUUUUAACCAGAGGGAACAAGAGGGCUGCGAUUAUUUUCUUUAAACUCUGGAAAUUAGGAGGACAAAAUGGUGACCUGUGACUCUAUCCCAAGAGGAAUCCUGAACUAACGGAGCAGCGGAAGGUGGGUGGUGAAGAGGCCAAAUGGUCCAAAUCGACUGCACCACAGCCACCCCUGGGAGUGCUCAAAAAACGUGUGGAUGUGGCCUUGACAGUGCUGGGGGAAUGGUAGGACUUCAUGAUC
Corapipo altera (White-ruffed manakin) is the source of this 578-nucleotide long non-coding RNA. RefSeq lists it as uncharacterized. NCBI's taxonomy places the organism in Eukaryota, Metazoa, Chordata, Aves, Passeriformes, Pipridae. The transcript is spliced from 4 exons. The record is from RefSeq and is a predicted model, not a curated record.